RNAcentral lists this long non-coding RNA (681 nucleotides) under Marmota monax (woodchuck). Lineage: Eukaryota; Metazoa; Chordata; Mammalia; Rodentia; Sciuridae. The record is from RNAcentral.
GUCAAAGCCUGAGCUGUAGGGGAAGGAACCUACUCUCCAUGUAGGUCUCUCUGGAGCAACCUGAAGACAGGAACUUGGCCUCAAGGAGACAAGUGGGUGAAGAAGAAGGUGGGAUAGAUCGAGAUACAAUAAAGACUAAAAAGGAAACAGAAAUUGAUGGAAAUAGUCAUAGGGAACAGCCAAAUAAAAAAGAAGAUUAAAACAUGCCAAGAGCAUCUCAGAAAAGAGGGAGUACAUAGUCUCAAUAGUCGAGAAACAAGUUGAUAAUCUGUAUUAUCAAAUAAAAAAAAACAACAACAACCCCAGAAUUAAGAGAGACUUAAUUUGACAGGAUUAUUGUAACAAAGGGAAUAAUGCAAUAGGGAGAACAAUCCAAACAUAAGAGCUACAAACAUCUCAAAGGCCUAGUAGAAAGGUAUUUUAUUUUAUGGGGAAGGGUCAACAAGGCUAGAAAGUUCUGCUAUGAAUAUAGUGGAAUAAUGAAGGAAUGUUUCCCUGAGGUCAGCAUAUUUUUGUGAGGGUUCAUUUACCCAUUAAUUCUGUAUAGGACAUAGGAGGAUGCGGUGUAUUGAGAAAAGGGGAGGCUAAGUCAACCUUCAUAAGAUCAGAGGAAGAGAAGCUUACCUAAUGUGAGGUCUAGUUAACAUGUGCUUAUUUUCUACCUAUAUGUGGAUAAAUUUC